GACGAACGCUGGCGGCGUGCUUAGCACAUGCAAGUCGAACGGAAAGGCCCUGCUUUUGUGGGGUGCUCGAGUGGCGAACGGGUGAGUAACACGUGAGUAACCUGCCCUUGACUUUGGGAUAACUUCAGGAAACUGUGGCUAAUACCGGAUAGGAGCUCCUGCUGCAUGGUGUGUGUUGGAAAGUUGCGGCGGUUGGGGAUGGACGCGGGGCUUAGCAGCUUGUAGGUGGGGUAGUGGCGUACCAAGGCUUUGACGGGCAGCCGGACUGAGAGGGUGACCGGCCACAGUGGGACUGAGAUACGGGCCAGACUCCUACGGGAGGAAGCAGUGGGGAAUAGUGCACGAUGGGCGGAAGCCUGAUGGAGCAACGCCGGGUGGGAGAUGACGGCCGUCGGGUUGGAAACCGCUUUCGACUGUGACGAAGAGUGAGUGACGGUAAUGGGUAAAGAAGCAACGGCUAACUACGUG
This 468-nucleotide ribosomal RNA is filed under the name uncultured bacterium. RNAcentral describes it as "partial 16S ribosomal RNA". It matches the Rfam family "Bacterial small subunit ribosomal RNA", at positions 28 to 507 of the family's 1533-position model. The record is from RNAcentral.